UAGCUUCCACGAGGCGAGUUAUUCUGCGUCUUAAGGCCGUAGAGCAAACAUGUGGCUGCGUCUGUUGUGUACUGUGUUUCUAUUGCAAAUCGUGUUCGUUGUUGGGGAGGAAACCGGGUCUUCACAUGCGACGCCUGCCGGAAUAAUGACCCGAAGAGACGGUGACUCGUCUCAGGGUUGUCCUGAGGGAUACAUUAGCUUUCGGGAAGGCUGCAUACAACCCUUCGACUUCUCGAAGGCCAAGAACAGCUGAAGGAAUAGAGAUCAAGAGAAGAGAAACACAUAAUAACUGCCGUGAAUUACUGUACCUUCCUCAGUGUAUCAACCGCAUUAACCGAACAUCAUUUCACUCUAAAUUAAGCAAAAGAACAAAUAAUAAAUGAUUACACUUAAUACAUAGAUAAAGAUUA
Long non-coding RNA from Schistocerca cancellata (South American locust), 410 nucleotides. RefSeq lists it as uncharacterized. The record is from RefSeq and is a predicted model, not a curated record. NCBI's taxonomy places the organism in Eukaryota, Metazoa, Arthropoda, Insecta, Orthoptera, Acrididae. The transcript is spliced from 2 exons.